CUUGUGAUGAUCACCGCUGUUGUUUAUCACCUGAGAUUUACCUGCUUGCUGAAUACAACUGUCACCUGCUCUACCUGCUGGUUCAGAGUGUUACAACGGUCUAUUCCAACAACCACGAAUGAGCCCAAAGGUGUCGCCCACACAGUGGUCAUAACUCACUACUUCCUCCUCCUUGGCAACCAACUGCCAAUGUCUGAUGUUCUCUACCGCCACCU
Seriola aureovittata is the source of this 215-nucleotide long non-coding RNA. RefSeq lists it as uncharacterized. The transcript is spliced from 3 exons. The record is from RefSeq and is a predicted model, not a curated record. Lineage: Eukaryota; Metazoa; Chordata; Actinopteri; Carangiformes; Carangidae.